ACGGGGUGCAGCAGGCGCGAAACCUCCGCAAUGUGAGAAAUCGCGACGGGGGGAUCCCGAGUGCCAUUCUUAACGGGAUGGCUUUUCAUUAGUGUAAAGAGCUUUUGGAAUAAGGGCUGGGCAAGACCGGUGCCAGCCGCCGCGGUAACACCGGCAGCUCUAGUGGUAGCAGUUUUUAUUGGGCCUAAAGCGUCCGUAGCCGGUUUAAUAAGUCUCUGGUGAAAUCCUGUAGCUUAACUGUGGGAAUUGCUGGAGAUACUAUUAGACUUGAGACCGGGAGAGGUUAGAGGUACUCCCAGGGUAGAGGUGAAAUUCUGUAAUCCUGGGAGGACCGCCUGUUGCGAAGGCGUCUAACUGGAACGGUUCUGACGGUGAGGGACGAAAGUUAGGGGCGCGAACCGGAUUAGAUACCCGGGUAGUCCUAACUGUAAACGAUGCGGACUUGGUGUUGGGGUGGCUUUGAGCUGGUUCCAGUGCCGAAAGGGAAGCUGUUAAGUCCGCCGCCUGGGAAGUACGGUCGCAAGACUGAAACUUAAAAGGGAAUUGGGCGGGGGAGCAC
Molecule: ribosomal RNA, 559 nt
Filed under: uncultured archaeon
Lineage: Archaea
Description: bacterial SSU rRNA
Rfam family: Archaeal small subunit ribosomal RNA
Source: RNAcentral